UUUCGUUUCGUAAAUGUUUAGCACAAAUGUUUUUCCAUUUUAUGAUUAACCAUCUUAUAAAUUUUUAUGAUAAGUAUAAACGCUUUGAAAAACACCUGCAUAUACUUGACAGCGAACUCGUGUACGGCGGGAAUGAUUACACGACGUUGUUGCGAUUAAAACUUAAUUUAACGUAAUUUAGCGCCAUAUUGACAGACAUCGUAAAAAAUUAAGGUAUAUCGGCUUUUAUUGAAAAAACAAGCACAUCGACCUCAAUGUUUUUCUUUUGCAAUCAAUCAAGUACUGUUUCAAGAACACUCCGCCA
Molecule: long non-coding RNA, 304 nt
Filed under: Mytilus galloprovincialis (Mediterranean mussel)
Lineage: Eukaryota; Metazoa; Mollusca; Bivalvia; Mytilida; Mytilidae
Source: RNAcentral